GUUUUUGCAUAAUCAAUGUUUUAAUAUUUUAUCAUUUAACUAGAAACCAAUCUAGUUUUUAUGCAUAUAAACCUCUGAUGGAAUGGGUUACUAACUAUUUCGUAGGGACGGUAAAAGUUCCCGAAUCCGAUUUGAUACAAUCCACCUCAAUUUGUGUGGGGCAGGAUGUAAGACCUUCUCCUCGCCUCGAACCCUCGUGACCUGUCU
This 207-nucleotide unclassified non-coding RNA is filed under the name Hevea brasiliensis (rubber tree). The record is from RNAcentral. Lineage: Eukaryota; Viridiplantae; Streptophyta; Magnoliopsida; Malpighiales; Euphorbiaceae.